This 301-nucleotide ribosomal RNA is filed under the name uncultured bacterium. Its description in RNAcentral is "partial 16S ribosomal RNA". It matches the Rfam family "Bacterial small subunit ribosomal RNA", at positions 509 to 809 of the family's 1533-position model. The record is from RNAcentral.
CAGCAGCCGCGGGAAUACGUAGGGUGCAAGCGUUAAUCGGAAUUACUGGGCGUAAAGCGUGCGCAGGCGGUGUUGUAAGACUGAUGUGAAAUCCCCGGGCUCAACCUGGGAACUGCAUUGGUGACUGCAACGCUGGAGUGCGGCAGAGGGGGAUGGAAUUCCGCGUGUAGCAGUGAAAUGCGUAGAUAUGCGGAGGAACACCGAUGGCGAAGGCAAUCCCCUGGGCCUGUACUGACGCUCAUGCACGAAAGCGUGGGGAGCAAACAGGAUUAGAUACCCGAGUAGUCCCUGUCUCUUAUAA